GCCAACGCCGACUUGAGGAAGGAGCUCGGUGAAGCGAAGGCCGCCCUUCAUACCAAGGAUGCCGAGUACGCUGCCUUGGUCCAGGAGCGUGAUCGCCUGGCCAAGAAGCUGGCCGACCAGGAGAAGAGCCACAAGGCGGCCCUGCAGGCGGCGCAGGAUAGCGAAGCCGCCCUGAAGGCAGAGUAUGAGACCGAGGCGGCGAGCUGGGCUGAGACCCGGCGAGCCCUGGAUGAAGGCUUCGGCCGGAUCGAGGACUUGAUCGACGACUACUUCCCCGGCUACUCCACCUUCGCCGCCCAA
RNAcentral lists this ribosomal RNA (300 nucleotides) under Triticum aestivum (bread wheat). RNAcentral's name for it is "partial small subunit ribosomal RNA". The record is from RNAcentral. Lineage: Eukaryota; Viridiplantae; Streptophyta; Magnoliopsida; Poales; Poaceae.